RNAcentral lists this ribosomal RNA (492 nucleotides) under uncultured bacterium. RNAcentral describes it as "partial 16S ribosomal RNA". It matches the Rfam family "Bacterial small subunit ribosomal RNA", at positions 29 to 507 of the family's 1533-position model. The record is from RNAcentral.
AGUGAACGCUGGCGGUAGGCCUAACACAUGCAAGUCGAACGGCAGCACAGUAAGAGCUUGCUCUUACGGGUGGCGAGUGGCGGACGGGUGAGGAAUACAUCGGAAUCUACUUUUUCGUGGGGGAUAACGUAGGGAAACUUACGCUAAUACCGCAUACGACCUACGGGUGAAAGCAGGGGAUCUUCGGACCUUGCGCGAUUGAAUGAGCCGAUGUCGGAUUAGCUAGUUGGCGGGGUAAAGGCCCACCAAGGCGACGAUCCGUAGCUGGUCUGAGAGGAUGAUCAGCCACACUGGAACUGAGACACGGUCCAGACUCCUACGGGAGGGAGCAGCGGGGAAUAUUGGACAAUGGGCGCAAGCCUGAUCCAGCCAUACCGCGUGGGUGAAGAAGGCCUUCGGGUUGUAAAGCCCUUUUGUUGGGAAAGAAAAGCAGCAGGUUAAUACCCCGCUGUUCUGACGGUACCCAAAGAAUAAGCACCGGCUAACUUCGUG